GUUGCAAAGCACUUUGAAGAGAGAGUUAAAGAGGACGUGAAACCGGUGAGGUGGAAACGGAUAGAGUCGGCGUAUCAUUCAAGUAUUCAGUUACAUUAUUUUUAUGUUGUGACCUCUGAGCUCCAGAUUGGGACAGAGGGAAGCAGCAUAAUUUUUUGUGGUGCAUUUACUUGAUUGGUGCUUGGGGAUGUUUGAGGCAGAUUUGUUUCCGUCGUUUUGAGGCCAGCUUGCUGGUACCCAAACGGUGUUAGCAUUUUUUGUYUUGGACAUUUGAGUAUGGCUCACGUGUAUUUAUUGGAUUGAUCUGAGUGUAAGUUGCGGUCGCAUGCGACACGUGSUUUUCAWUUAGUUCGGUCCRGUUAAUGCUCYCGUACUCCUUCCCCAUGUAAAAGCCGGUCAUCUAUCCGACCCGUCUUGAAACACGGACCAAGGAGUUUAUCGUGUGCGCAAGUUUUUGGGUGUUAAAAACCUAAAAGCGAAAUGAAAGUAAAUGRCUUUUUAGAGUCUGAUGUGCGAUCUWGUAAAAAAGUGCAGCAUGGCCCCAUUCUAACUGUUUACAGUAGGGUGGCGGAAGAGCGUACGCGGUGAGACCCGAAAGAUGGUGAACUAUUCCUGAGCAGGACGAAGCCAGAGGAAACUCUGGUGGAAGUCCGAAGCGGUUCUGACGUGCAAAUCGAUCGUCUGACUUGGGUAUAGGGGCGAAAGACUAAUCGAACCAUCUAGUAGCUGGU
RNAcentral lists this ribosomal RNA (731 nucleotides) under Meloidogyne paranaensis. RNAcentral's name for it is "partial large subunit ribosomal RNA". The record is from RNAcentral. Lineage: Eukaryota; Metazoa; Nematoda; Chromadorea; Rhabditida; Meloidogynidae.